RNAcentral lists this ribosomal RNA (326 nucleotides) under uncultured eukaryote. RNAcentral's name for it is "partial 18S ribosomal RNA". It matches the Rfam family "Eukaryotic small subunit ribosomal RNA", at positions 1470 to 1796 of the family's 1831-position model. The record is from RNAcentral.
CCCUUAGAUGUCCGGGGCCGCACGCGCGCUACACUGAAGGAAUCAGCGUGGCUUUCUCCCUGACCCGAAAGGGUUGGGAAACCCGUUGAAUCUCCUUCGUGAUAGGGAUUGGGGCUUGAAAUUGUUCCCCAUGAACGAGGAAUUCCCAGUAAGCGCGAGUCAUAAGCUCGCGUUGAUUACGUCCCUGCCCUUUGUACACACCGCCCGUCGCUACUACCGAUUGAGUGUCUCGGUGAAUUCUUUGAUUUUCUGUCAAUUCAGUUCACUGAUCCGACGGUGGAAAGUUGACUGAACUUCGUCAUUUAGAGGAAGGAGAAGUCGUAACA